GGACUCGCACAAGCGGUGGUUUAUGAGGUUUAAUUCGAUAGCAAACGAGGCACCUCACCAGGGCUUGACAUGCAGUCCUUAUGCUUUUUUUGAAAAGAAAAAGUUUUUACCGUAAGGUAAACGGACUGCACAGGUGCUGCAUGGUUGUCGUCAGCUCGUGCCGUGAGGCGUUCCCUUCAGUGGGGAAACGAGCGCAACCCUUGUUGUUUGUUUUUGUGUCAAACAAGACUACCCAGCUUUAAGCCUACAAAUCCAUUUUGCAGGUUUAAAGCUGGGUGGAAGUGGGGAUGACGCCAAAUCAGCAUGGCCCUUUGAUGCCCUGGGCGACACUCAUGAAACAAUGGUAUAUACAGCGGGUUGCUAAGCCGCGAGGCGGAGCUAAUCCCUUAAAGUAUACCUCAGUUCGGAUUGGAGUCUGAAACCCGACUCCAUGAAGCUGGAAUCGCUAGUAAACGCGUAUCAGCCAUGGCGCGUUGAAUACGUUCUCGAGUCCU
This 494-nucleotide ribosomal RNA is filed under the name uncultured bacterium. RNAcentral describes it as "bacterial SSU rRNA". It matches the Rfam family "Bacterial small subunit ribosomal RNA", at positions 917 to 1382 of the family's 1533-position model. The record is from RNAcentral.